This 403-nucleotide ribosomal RNA is filed under the name uncultured bacterium. Its description in RNAcentral is "bacterial SSU rRNA". It matches the Rfam family "Bacterial small subunit ribosomal RNA", at positions 362 to 758 of the family's 1533-position model. The record is from RNAcentral.
UUUUGGCCAAUGGACGAAAGUCUGAUCCAGCAAUGCCGCGUGCAGGACGAAGGCCUUCGGGUUGUAAACUGCUUUUGUACGGAACGAAAAAGUCUUUUUUAAUAAAGAGGGCUUAUGACGGUACCGUAAGAAUAAGCACCGGCUAACUACGUGCCAGCAGCCGCGGUAAUACGUAGGGUGCGAGCGUUAAUCGGAAUUACUGGGCGUAAAGCGUCCGCAGGCGGUUCUAUAAGACAGAUGUGAAAUCCCUGGGCUCAACCUAGGAACUGCAUUUGUGACUGUAGAGCUAGAGUACGGCAGAGGGGGAUGGAAUUCCGCGUGUAGCAGUGAAAUGCGUAGAUAUGCGGAGGAACACCGAUGGCGAAGGCAACCCCCUGGGCCUAUACUGACGCUCAGGACGAAA